AUAUCUUCCAAAUCACCGACUCUUCCUCAGAAAACAACAUCUAAACCUACACCUUCCGAUUCACCUACGCCAAAGACAACAACUCAACCAAAACCUUCGGAUUCACUUCCUCAGAAAACAACAGUUAAGGAGCAAAAUUCCUCUAUCGUAUCCUCUACGACACCGAAAACCAUCUUUCAGCAUACUGUAGGGAUGAAAACGGUAUCUACUCCAAAUGAACUCAUAAAAAUGACGAGCUCAAAUUCACAAACGUCAUCACCAGAAAAUCAAAAACAUAUUCCUGAUCCAAAUAAAUUGUAUGUUGGUGGUCUAAAUGGAAAACUGACCAUUUUAUCACAUGCGUCUUGCCGAAUGUUUUCUUUUUAUACUUUAUUGCCUUUUACAUUAUUUGCUUUAUUUAUGAUCUUGUGAUAUUAUGAUAACAUUUUUAAGAAAAGAUUAUUUACCUUUAAAUUCUACAUGUAAGGGAUGUUUGAGAUUUUACUCUUCUAUGUAUUAUUUGUUGAAUGUCAAUGAUUUUAUAAACAGUAAAUGUAUGACUCUUUUAAA
Molecule: long non-coding RNA, 549 nt
Filed under: Mytilus galloprovincialis (Mediterranean mussel)
Lineage: Eukaryota; Metazoa; Mollusca; Bivalvia; Mytilida; Mytilidae
Source: RNAcentral